CAGUAGCCGCGGUAAUGCGUAGGGUGCAAGCGUUAAUCGGAAUUACUGGGCGUAAAGCGUGCGCAGGCGGUUUGUUAAGACAGAUGUGAAAUCCCCGGGCUUAACCUGGGAACUGCAUUUGUGACUGGCAAGCUAGAGUCUGGCAGAGGGGGGUGGAAUUCCGUGUGUAGCAGUGAAAUGCGUAGAUAUGCGGAGGAACACCGAUGGCGAAGGCAGCCCCCUGGGCCAACACUGACGCUCAUGCACGAAAGCGUGGGGAGCAAACAGGAUUAGAUACCCCCGUAGUCCCUGUCUCUUACAC
This 301-nucleotide ribosomal RNA is filed under the name uncultured bacterium. RNAcentral's name for it is "partial 16S ribosomal RNA". It matches the Rfam family "Bacterial small subunit ribosomal RNA", at positions 509 to 809 of the family's 1533-position model. The record is from RNAcentral.